This 491-nucleotide ribosomal RNA is filed under the name uncultured bacterium. Its description in RNAcentral is "bacterial SSU rRNA". It matches the Rfam family "Bacterial small subunit ribosomal RNA", at positions 28 to 506 of the family's 1533-position model. The record is from RNAcentral.
GAUGAACGCUAGCUACAGGCCUUAACACAUGCAAGUCGAGGGGCAGCAUGAAGUCAGCUUGCUGACUUUGAUGGCGACCGGCGCACGGGUGAGUAACGCGUAUCCAACCUUCCCCUUACUCAGGAAUAGCCCGUUGAAAGACGGAUUAAUGCCUGAUGUUCUCUUUUUCCGGCAUCGGUAAUAGAGCAAAGAUUCAUCGGUAAGGGAUGGGGAUGCGUAUGAUUAGCUAGAUGGUGGGGUAACGGCCCACCAUGGCGACGAUGUCUAGGGGUUCUGAGAGGAAGGUCCCCCACACUGGAACUGAGACACGGUCCAGACUCCUACGGGAGGCAGCAGUGAGGAAUAUUGGGUCAAUGGUCGAGAGACUGAACCAGCCAUGCCGCGUGAAGGUCACGGCCCUAUGGGUCUUAAACUUCUUUUGUAAGGGUAGCAAUAAGUCUCACGUGUGGGAUGAUGAGAGUACCUUACGAAUAAGCAUCGGCUAACUCCGU